GACGAACGCUGGCGGCGUGCUUAACACAUGCAAGUCGAACGGAAAGGCCCUGCUUUUGUGGGGUGCUCGAGUGGCGAACGGGUGAGUAACACGUGAGUAACCUGCCCUUGACUUUGGGAUAACUUCAGGAAACUGGGGCUAAUACCGGAUAGGAGCUCCUGCUGCAUGGUGGGGGUUGGAAAGUUUCGGCGGUUGGGGAUGGACUCGCGGCUUAUCAGCUUGUUGGUGGGGUAGUGGCUUACCAAGGCUUUGACGGGUAGCCGGCCUGAGAGGGUGACCGGCCACAUUGGGACUGAGAUACGGCCCAGACUCCUACGGGAGGCAGCAGUGGGGAAUAUUGCACAAUGGGCGGAAGCCUGAUGCAGCAACGCCGCGUGCGGGAUGACGGCCUUCGGGUUGUAAACCGCUUUCGCCUGUGACGAAGCGUGAGUGACGGUAAUGGGUAAAGAAGCACCGGCUAACUACGUGCCAGCAGCCGCGGUGAUACGUAGGGUGCGAGCGUUGUCCGGAUUUAUUGGGCGUAAAGGGCUCGUAGGUGGUUGAUCGCGUCGGAAGUGUAAUCUUGGGGCUUAACCCCUGAGCGUGCUUUCGAUACGGGUUGACUUGAGGAAGGUAGGGGAGAAUGGAAUUCCUGGUGGAGCGGUGGAAUGCGCAGAUAUCAGGAGGAACACCAGUGGCGAAGGCGGUUCUCUGGGCCUUUCCUGACGCUGAGGAGCGAAAGCGUGGGGAGCGAACAGGCUUAGAUACCCUGGUAGUCCACGCUGUAAACGGUGGGUACUAGGUGUGGGGUCCAUUCCACGGGUUCCGUGCCGUAGCUAACGCUUUAAGUACCCCGCCUGGGGAGUACGGCCGCAAGGCUAAAACUCAAAGGAAUUGACGGGGCCCCGCACAAGCGGCGGAGCAUGCGGAUUAAUUCGAUGCAACGCGUAGAACCUUACCUGGGUUUGACAUGGAUCGGGAGCGCUCAGAGAUGGGUGUGCCUCUUUUGGGGUCGGUUCACAGGUGGUGCAUGGCUGUCGUCAGCUCGUGUCGUGAGAUGCUGGGUUAAGUCCCGCAACGAGCGCAACCCUUGUUCACUGUUGCCAGCACGUUAUGGUGGGGACUCAGUGGAGACCGCUGGGGUCAACUCGGAGGAAGGUGGGGAUGACGUCAAGUCAUCAUGCCCCUUAUGUCCAGGGCUUCACGCAUGCUACAAUGGCUGGUACAGAGAGUGGCGAGCCUGUGAGGGUGAGCGAAUCUCGGAAAGCCGGUCUCAGUUCGGAUUGGGGUCUGCAACUCGACCUCAUGAAGUCGGAGUCGCUAGUAAUCGCAGAUCAGCAACGCUGCGGUGAAUACGUUCCCGGG
Molecule: ribosomal RNA, 1344 nt
Filed under: uncultured bacterium
Lineage: Bacteria
Description: 16S ribosomal RNA
Rfam family: Bacterial small subunit ribosomal RNA
Source: RNAcentral